UUUCGAGGCUGUUUAAAUGGAUU
This 23-nucleotide microRNA is filed under the name Apis mellifera (honey bee). RNAcentral's name for it is "ame-miR-9864-5p". The record is from miRBase by way of RNAcentral. Lineage: Eukaryota; Metazoa; Arthropoda; Insecta; Hymenoptera; Apidae.